GAACUUCAUCACUGACCUUGAAAAUGCGGUUUUUCACUGAAGUGGUUUUUCUUUCUCCUCCAGGGAGCUUUUGUCACUACCUCAACAGACCGUUCUAGAGGUGAAAAUAUGGAGUUGUUUCAGCUGCUCUCUCCAUUGUUUGCACUGCCAGCAAGGGCUGCAGGAUCUCCUGCUACUUAACUGGUAUUUAAUUGCUCCUGCUAAGGCCCUCUGCGUUGUGAAGAACAGCAUAUCUUUUUGGAAAAAAAAAACAACAAACCAACAGGACAGUUUCUAGGAAUUGCCAUUGCCAGAAAUGCGAGCGGAGGGUGUUUUGAUAAAGAAUCUCAG
RNAcentral lists this long non-coding RNA (330 nucleotides) under Parus major (Great Tit). RNAcentral describes it as "lncRNA (ENSPMJG00000002834.1)". The record is from RNAcentral. Lineage: Eukaryota; Metazoa; Chordata; Aves; Passeriformes; Paridae.